RNAcentral lists this unclassified non-coding RNA (1188 nucleotides) under Hevea brasiliensis (rubber tree). Lineage: Eukaryota; Viridiplantae; Streptophyta; Magnoliopsida; Malpighiales; Euphorbiaceae. The record is from RNAcentral.
GCAGCCUGAGGAGCAGGUUUUCCUUUAAUAGAAGUUGAUCAGUAACUCAUUAAAAGAUGAUUCAUCAAAACAACACAUAAUAUAAAAGAAGUACAUGGAGUAUAAGUAAUUUGACACACAUUAAAACCACCAACACUCCAUUAUGAACAACAAUUUGAAGCAAGUUCCCAAGACACCAGGCAUCAUCAAGAUUCCAGCACAAGUUACAACAAAUGGUUAAUAAGAAGUUUUACAGAACUUGCAAACAUAAAAAGUAGCAGCUCAUGAUGAUCUGGAAGAGUUGAACUGUUAAUCUAGAUAUAAUAUAAUUACAGUGGGAGAACACUCAUCGAUGUAUAAGAUCCAUGACCAUACAUGAUGUGAAUAUCAAUUUAGGUAUAAAAUCCAUACCCAAAACCUCUGAAAAAUUUGCAUACCUAAGUUCCAAGUUCUGAUUCACUACAGGAGCAAGACACAUUAAAGUUUGGUAUCAACUCAAACAAUUUAGUAUGUUCACCACAACAUAAUUAAGAAUGUCUACAUGUGAUCAAGUAACAAAGCAAAGCCAAAACUAAAUACAAAAGCAAUACAUCUAAAUAUCAACUUCGUUGGAUUAAAAAAAGAUUUAAACUCUAUACUGACCACUUACAGAUUUACUAUAUGCAUUCAACCUAUAAAACUAAAGCCAAAAAUUUAAAUACUGAACAGAAGUUACAGAACCCACAAGUCGAACAGAUGCAAAAACUAGGAGGAUGUGUUACCAAGAAACCCAAUUCCCAAAUGACCAUUCAUAUUAAGCAAACACGAAUAUCAAAAUCAAUAGCAUGCAAAAAAUUUCAUAUCCAUUUGGUUAAAGACAAAAAAGAAAAGAAGUAAAAAAAAAAGGGGGAACUUUGAGGUCUAAUGAUAACUCACAUGAAUUCAAAACAGGACAAAUCAGAAGUGAUAAUUCGUAAAUAAACACCGUCUCAUUAGCGAAAUAGCACAGCACAUCUACUUCUUCUAAUGCCCAGAGAAAAAGAAAAGAAAAGAAAAGCAAAACAGACCAAAGAUCUCAUCUUGGGUUCGUUGGCUCAGCUUUCUCAAUCUAAACGCAAAGAGAAAUGGAAAACAAAACCCACAAAUCCACAGACCCAUGAAAAGAAUAUACCCAAAUAUGUAAAGUACAUGUCUUUGUGCAAAUCCUACCUCCAGAAUUUUUGUGAGGCA